Molecule: long non-coding RNA, 428 nt
Filed under: Sorghum bicolor (sorghum)
Lineage: Eukaryota; Viridiplantae; Streptophyta; Magnoliopsida; Poales; Poaceae
Description: long non-coding RNA (SBIC_LNC012923)
Source: RNAcentral
CCGCCAAAGAAGGGCAACCAAGGGAACGUCCGUCAGGGGCGUGUUCACUACACAACUGUGGAAGCUAUCCCUGCUGGUGAGGUAGUUACUGCUGGUAAGUGUUGAUAUUUGGUAACGCAAUAAGGAAAUGAUCCGCAAGCGCACGGAUAUCGGUGGGCAUUUCACCCGGGAGGUUAUCCAGAGUUAUCGUAUUUAUAUUUUUACCACUGGGAGAAAGGGUGCAUCUGACUAACCAAAUCUAUUACUACUAUCCCUUUAGGCUACAAAGAAUGUUCCUCGAUGUGAGUGAUGUAUAGAGAAGACUGCAACCGUAGUCUCGUUCUAACCUUGGUAGGGAUGAUCCACUGUUCUAUUGGGGAAGCUUACGGAAUCUAGACACCACAACGGAUGUUCGACCCGCACCUAUAAACAUACCCGUCCUGCUAACG